UCUCAGAAAAACAUCCGAUUUAGAUCGGAAUCGUCAUCGACCAAAUACGUCAGAAACACCCCUAAAAAUUUCAAACGAGACUUCAACCAAGAUAACAAGAUGCAGAAAAGUAUAGUCGCAUCAUUGUCUAGGAUCUGAUACCAUGAAGACAUCAAGAAAUCUAGAUGAAAUCGAAGAACAAGAUGAGAGAGAGAGUCGGUUAGGUAGAAGCUUCCAGAGAGCUUCUUAGAGAGAGAAAUAAUAUUGAUCCACAAAUGAAA
This 260-nucleotide long non-coding RNA is filed under the name Nicotiana benthamiana. Its description in RNAcentral is "long non-coding RNA (NBEN_LNC001917)". Lineage: Eukaryota; Viridiplantae; Streptophyta; Magnoliopsida; Solanales; Solanaceae. The record is from RNAcentral.